CUACGGGGUGCUGCAGUGGGGAAUAUUGGACAAUGGGGGAAACCCUGAUCCAGCAAUGCCGCGUGUGUGAAGAAGGCCUGCGGGUUGUAAAGCACUUUCGGUUGGGAGGACUGCUUCUAGCACUAAUAUUGUUGGAAGUUGACGUUACCUUCAGAAGAAGCACCGGCUACUCCGUGCCAGCAGCCGCGGUAAUACGGAGGGUGCAAGCGUUAAUCGGAAUUACUGGGCGUAAAGCGCGCGUAGGCGGCUAGAUCAGUCGGGUGUGAAAGCCCCGGGCUUAACCUGGGAACUGCAUCCGAUACUGUCUAGCUUGAGUACAGGAGAGGAGAGUGGAAUUCCACAUGUAGCGGUGAAAUGCGUAGAUAUGUGGAGGAACACCAAUGGCGAAGGCAGCUCUCUGGCCUGAUACUGACGCUGAGGUGCGAAAGCGUGGGGGGCAAACAGGAUUAGAUACCCGGGUAGUC
This 464-nucleotide ribosomal RNA is filed under the name uncultured bacterium. Its description in RNAcentral is "partial 16S ribosomal RNA". It matches the Rfam family "Bacterial small subunit ribosomal RNA", at positions 339 to 795 of the family's 1533-position model. The record is from RNAcentral.